AACGAACGCUGGCGGCAUGCCUAACACAUGCAAGUCGAACGAGACCUUCGGGUCUAGUGGCGCACGGGUGCGUAACGCGUGGGAACCUGCCCUUAGGUUCGGAAUACCUCCCCGAAAGGGGUGCUCAUACCGGUUAAUGUCUUCGGACCAAAGAUUUAUCGCUUUUGGAUGGGCCCGGGUUGGUUUAGCCUGUUGGUAGGGUAAAGGCCUACCAAGGCGACGAUCGGUAGCUGGUCUGGGAGGAUGAUCAGCCACAGUGGGACUGAGAUAGGGCCCAGACCCCGACGCGAAGGGGGGGAGGGGGGGGGUAAAAUUGGGAAGGGGGCCAAAGCCAGAACCGGCACGUCCGGGUGGGUGGCGAUGGCUUUGGGUUUGGAAAGCGCUUUUGCCGGAGAGUAAAUGACGGUAACGGGUAAAAAAGCCCCGGCUAACUCCGUG
RNAcentral lists this ribosomal RNA (438 nucleotides) under uncultured bacterium. Its description in RNAcentral is "partial 16S ribosomal RNA". It matches the Rfam family "Bacterial small subunit ribosomal RNA", at positions 28 to 507 of the family's 1533-position model. The record is from RNAcentral.